Molecule: transfer RNA, 71 nt
Filed under: Candidatus Woesearchaeota archaeon
Lineage: Archaea; Nanobdellati; Candidatus Woesearchaeota
Description: tRNA-His
Rfam family: tRNA
About the family: Transfer RNA (tRNA) molecules are approximately 80 nucleotides in length. Their secondary structure includes four short double-helical elements and three loops (D, anti-codon, and T loops).
Source: RNAcentral
GCAGCAGUAUUUUAGUGGUAGAAUACGAGACUGUGGCUCUUGUGGCGCGAGUUCGAUUCUCGCCUGCUGCC